AACGUAGGUGGCAAGCGUUAUCCGGAUUUACUGGGCGUAAAGGGUGUGCAGGCGGGGGUGCAAGUGGGGGAUGAAAUCUCCCGGCUUAACCGGGAGGGGUUAUGCCAGACUGCAAUUCUAGAGGACGAGAGAGGGGGGUGGAAUUCCGGGUGUAGUGGUGAAAUGCGCAGAUAUCAGGAGGAGCACCGGUGGCGAAGGCAGGUCUCUGGGCCGAUACUGACGCUGAGGAGCGAAAGCGUGGGGAGCGAACAGG
This 253-nucleotide ribosomal RNA is filed under the name uncultured bacterium. RNAcentral's name for it is "partial 16S ribosomal RNA". It matches the Rfam family "Bacterial small subunit ribosomal RNA", at positions 524 to 776 of the family's 1533-position model. The record is from RNAcentral.